RNAcentral lists this ribosomal RNA (505 nucleotides) under uncultured bacterium. Its description in RNAcentral is "partial 16S ribosomal RNA". It matches the Rfam family "Bacterial small subunit ribosomal RNA", at positions 28 to 507 of the family's 1533-position model. The record is from RNAcentral.
GACGAACGCUGGCGGCGUGCCUAAUACAUGCAAGUAGAACGCACAGUUUAUACCGUAGCUUGCUACACCAUAGACUGUGAGUUGCGAACGGGUGAGUAACGCGUAGGUAACCUGCCUGGUAGCGGGGGAUAACUAUUGGAAACGAUAGCUAAUACCGCAUAAUAUUGAUUAUUGCAUGAUAAUUAAUUGAAAGGUGCAAUUGCACCACUACCAGAUGGACCUGCGUUGUAUUAGCUAGUAGGUGAGGUAACGGCUCACCUAGGCGACGAUACAUAGCCGACCUGAGAGGGUGAUCGGCCACACUGGGACUGAGACACGGCCCAGACUCCUACGGGAGGCAGCAGUAGGGAAUCUUCGGCAAUGGACGAAAGUCUGACCGAGCAACGCCGCGUGAGUGAAGAAGGUUUUCGGAUCGUAAAGCUCUGUUGUAAGAGAAGAAUGGGUGUGAGAGUGGAAAGUUCACACUGUGACGGUAUCUUACCAGAAAGGGACGGCUAACUACGUG